GCGAGCGUAGUCUAGCCUGGUAGGACGUGGCCUUCCCAAGGCUACAACCCGGGUUCAAAUCCCGGCGCUCGCA
Molecule: transfer RNA, 73 nt
Filed under: Microcaldota archaeon
Lineage: Archaea; Nanobdellati; Microcaldota
Description: tRNA-Gly
Rfam family: tRNA
About the family: Transfer RNA (tRNA) molecules are approximately 80 nucleotides in length. Their secondary structure includes four short double-helical elements and three loops (D, anti-codon, and T loops).
Source: RNAcentral